GACGGGUAGCCGGCCUGAGAGGGCGACCGGCCACACUGGGACUGAGACACGGCCCAGACUCCUACGGGAGGCAGCAGUGGGGAAUAUUGCACAAUGGGCGAAAGCCUGAUGCAGCGACGCCGCGUGAGGGAUGACGGCCUUCGGGUUGUAAACCUCUUUCAGCAGGGAAGAAGCGAAAGUGACGGUACCUGCAGAAGAAGCGCCGGCUAACUACGUGCCAGCAGCCGCGGUAAUACGUAGGGCGCAAGCGUUGUCCGGAAUUAUUGGGCGUAAAGAGCUCGUAGGCGGCUUGUCACGUCGGGUGUGAAAGCCCGGGGCUUAACCCCGGGUCUGCAUUCGAUACGGGCUAGCUAGAGUGUGGUAGGGGAGAUCGGAAUUCCUGGUGUAGCGGUGAAAUGCGCAGAUAUCAGGAGGAACACCGGUGGCGAAGGCGGAUCUCUGGGCCAUUACUGACGCUGAGGAGCGAAAGCGUGGGGAGCGAACAGGAUUAGAUACCCUGGUAGUCCACGCCGUAAACGGUGGGAACUAGGUGUUGGCGACAUUCCACGUCGUCGGUGCCGCAGCUAACGCAUUAAGUUC
Molecule: ribosomal RNA, 579 nt
Filed under: Streptomyces sp. RFP10
Lineage: Bacteria; Bacillati; Actinomycetota; Actinomycetes; Kitasatosporales; Streptomycetaceae
Also listed under: 3 other names
Description: bacterial SSU rRNA
Rfam family: Bacterial small subunit ribosomal RNA
Source: RNAcentral